Molecule: ribosomal RNA, 590 nt
Filed under: uncultured bacterium
Lineage: Bacteria
Description: bacterial SSU rRNA
Rfam family: Bacterial small subunit ribosomal RNA
Source: RNAcentral
GAGCGGCCGAUGUCGGAUUAGCUAGUUGGUAGGGUAAAGGCCUACCAAGGCGACGAUCCGUAGCUGGUCUGAGAGGAUGAUCAGCCACACUGGGACUGAGACACGGCCCAGACUCCUACGGGAGGCAGCAGUGGGGAAUUUUGGACAAUGGGGGCAACCCUGAUCCAGCCAUUCCGCGUGAGUGAAGAAGGCCUUCGGGUUGUAAAGCUCUUUCGGCAGGAACGAAACGGCGGGCUCUAACAUGGCCUGUCAAUGACGGUACCUGAAGAAGAAGCACCGGCUAACUACGUGCCAGCAGCCGCGGUAAUACGUAGGGUGCGAGCGUUAAUCGGAAUUACUGGGCGUAAAGCGUGCGCAGGCGGUUUUGUAAGACAGCUGUGAAAUCCCCGGGCUUAACCUGGGAACUGCGGUUGUGACUGCAAGACUAGAGUGCGGCAGAGGGGGGUGGAAUUCCACGUGUAGCAGUGAAAUGCGUAGAGAUGUGGAGGAACACCGAUGGCGAAGGCAGCCCCCUGGGUUGACACUGACGCUCAUGCACGAAAGCGUGGGUAGCAAACAGGAUUAGAUACCCUGGUAGUCCACGCCCUAAA